This 253-nucleotide ribosomal RNA is filed under the name uncultured bacterium. Its description in RNAcentral is "partial 16S ribosomal RNA". It matches the Rfam family "Bacterial small subunit ribosomal RNA", at positions 524 to 776 of the family's 1533-position model. The record is from RNAcentral.
UACGUAGGGGGCAAGCGUUGUCCGGAAUUACUGGGCGUAAAGCGUGCGCAGGCGGUUGGGUAAGUCUGUCGUGAAAUCCCCGGGCUCAACCUGGGAAUUGCGAUGGAGACUGCACGGCUAGAGUGUGUCAGAGGGGGGUAGAAUUCCACGUGUAGCAGUGAAAUGCGUAGAUAUGUGGAGGAACACCGAUGGCGAAGGCAGCCCCCUGGGAUAACACUGACGCUCAUGCACGAAAGCGUGGGGAGCAAACAGG